UACGGAGGGAGCUAGCGUUGUUCGGAAUUACUGGGCGUAAAGCGCACGUAGGCGGCUUUUUAAGUCAGGGGUGAAAUCCCGGGGCUCAACCCCGGAACUGCCCUUGAAACUGGAGAGCUAGAAUCUUGGAGAGGCGAGUGGAAUUCCGAGUGUAGAGGUGAAAUUCGUAGAUAUUCGGAAGAACACCAGUGGCGAAGGCGACUCGCUGGACAAGUAUUGACGCUGAGGUGCGAAAGCGUGGGGAGCAAACGGG
Molecule: ribosomal RNA, 253 nt
Filed under: uncultured bacterium
Lineage: Bacteria
Description: partial 16S ribosomal RNA
Rfam family: Bacterial small subunit ribosomal RNA
Source: RNAcentral